UCCUACGGGGGGCAGCAGUGAGGAAUAUUGGUCAAUGGCCGGAAGGCUGAACCGGCCAAGCCGCGUGAAGGACGAAGGUGCCAAGCAUUGUAAACUUCUUUUGUCAAGGGACAAAAUCAGGCUCGAGAGCCUGACCGAGGGUACUUGAAGAAAAAGCAUCGGCUAACUCCGUGCCAGCAGCCGCGGUAAUACGGAGGAUGCGAGCGUUAUCCGGAUUUAUUGGGUUUAAAGGGUGCGUAGGCGGACUGUUAAGUCAGCGGUAAAAGCCCGGGGCUCAACCCCGGCCCGCCGUUGAACCUGGCAGU
Molecule: ribosomal RNA, 305 nt
Filed under: uncultured bacterium
Lineage: Bacteria
Description: bacterial SSU rRNA
Rfam family: Bacterial small subunit ribosomal RNA
Source: RNAcentral